This is a non-coding RNA of Mycena vulgaris, 85 nucleotides long. Lineage: Eukaryota; Fungi; Basidiomycota; Agaricomycetes; Agaricales; Mycenaceae. The record is from the annotation of a GenBank genome assembly.
UCGGACGUAGUGCACGGUGCACGCCCGUUCUUUAUGUCUUUAUCUCGUGAUGCGGGAAGCCUGGGUUCGAUCCCCAGCGUCCGAA